AUGCAAGUCGAACGAGGUGCUUUUGUAGUAAUACGAGAGUAUCCUAGUGGCGAACGGGUGAGUAACGCGUUGGUGACCUACCCCAAAGUGUGGGAUAACAGUUCGAAAGGAUUGCUAAUACCUCAUGUGGUCUUCGGAUUUAGAAACUGAUGACUAAAGGAGUAAUCCGCUUUGGGAGGGACCUGCGUCCCAUCAGCUAGUUGGUGAGGUAAUGGCUCACCAAGGCUACGACGGGUAGGGGACCUGAGAGGGUGACCCCCCACAAUGGAACUGAAACACGGUCCAUACACCUACGGGUGGCAGCAGUAGGGAAUAUUGCACAAUGGGCGAAAGCCUGAUGGUGCGACGUCGCGUGAGGGAUGAAGGCCUUCGGGUUGUAAACCUCUGUCACCGGGGAAGAAACGCUUCAAGUUAACAGCUUGAAGCCUGACUUAACCCGGAGAGGAAGCAGUGGCUAACUCUGUGCCAGCAGCCGCGGUAAUACAGAGACUGCAAGCGUAUCGGAUCACUGGGCGUAA
This 518-nucleotide ribosomal RNA is filed under the name uncultured bacterium. Its description in RNAcentral is "bacterial SSU rRNA". It matches the Rfam family "Bacterial small subunit ribosomal RNA", at positions 55 to 563 of the family's 1533-position model. The record is from RNAcentral.